Molecule: ribosomal RNA, 253 nt
Filed under: uncultured bacterium
Lineage: Bacteria
Description: partial 16S ribosomal RNA
Rfam family: Bacterial small subunit ribosomal RNA
Source: RNAcentral
UACAGAGGUGGCAAGCGUUGUUCGGAAUUACUGGGCGUAAGGGGCGCGUAGGCGGCCUUCUAAGUCAGACGUGAAAUCCCCCGGCUUAACCUGGGAACUGCGUCGGAUACUGGAUGGCUUGAAUUCGGGAGAGGGAUGCAGAAUUCCAGGUGUGGCGGUGAAAUGCGUAGAUAUCUGGAGGAAUACCGGUGGCGAAGGCGGCAUCCUGGACCGACAUUGACGCUGAGGAGCGAAAGCUAGGGGAGCAAACGGG